RNAcentral lists this unclassified non-coding RNA (374 nucleotides) under soil metagenome. RNAcentral describes it as "partial contains internal transcribed spacer 2 and large subunit ribosomal RNA". The stretch from base 1 to 120 matches the Rfam family "5.8S ribosomal RNA", at positions 35 to 154 of the family's 154-position model. The record is from RNAcentral.
GAUGAAGAACGUAGCGAAAUGCGAUAAUUAAUGUGAAUUGCAGAAUUCCGUGAAUCAUCGAGUCUUUGAACGCACAUUGCGCCUCAUAGCAUUCCGUGAGGCAUGCCCAUCUCAGCGUUAGAAAAUAUUCUCAAAUUUUAGUUUUGUGCUAAAAUUUGGAUCAUGUCAAGGAAGCUAUUACUAUUAUUGUGAUCGCUCUUUGGAAAUUGAUAGGUCUUUGAGUUGCUACUCAUAGAACGUGAUGAAUCUUUCUUCGUUCUAUUGUAAUUCACUCUGGUAGUCCUAAAACUUGUAUGCCUGUGGCAUAUCUUGUAAUUUGACCUGAGAUUGGGUAGGGAUACCCGCUGAACUUAAGCAUAUCAAUAAGCGGAGGA